CCUACGGGAGGCAGCAGUAGGGAAUAUUGCUCAAUGGGGGAAACCCUGAAGCAGCAACGCCGCGUGGAGGAUGAAGGUUUUCGGAUUGUAAACUCCUUUUGUUAGAGAAGAUAAUGACGGUAUCUAACGAAUAAGCACCGGCUAACUCCGUGCCAGCAGCCGCGGUCAUACGGAGGGUGCAAGCGUUACUCGGAAUCACUGGGCGUAAAGAGCGCGUAGGCGGGAUAGCAAGUCAGAUGUGAAAUCCUAUGGCUUAACCAUAGAACGGCAUUUGAAACUGUUAUUCUAGAGUAUGGGAGAGGUAGGUUGAAUGCUUGGUGUAGGGGUAAAAUCCGUAGAGAUCAAGAGGAAUACUCAUUGCGAAGGCGACCUGCUAGAACAUAACUGACGCUGAUGCGCGAAAGCGUGGGGAGCAAACAGGAUUAGAUACCCCAGUAGU
Molecule: ribosomal RNA, 439 nt
Filed under: uncultured bacterium
Lineage: Bacteria
Description: partial 16S ribosomal RNA
Rfam family: Bacterial small subunit ribosomal RNA
Source: RNAcentral